RNAcentral lists this ribosomal RNA (111 nucleotides) under uncultured eukaryote. RNAcentral's name for it is "partial small subunit ribosomal RNA". It matches the Rfam family "Bacterial small subunit ribosomal RNA", at positions 1419 to 1525 of the family's 1533-position model. The record is from RNAcentral.
ACCCAAAGUCACUUUAGCCAACCUGCAAAGGAGGCGAGUCGCCUAAGGUAUGGGGGAUGAUUGGGGUGAAGUCGUAACAAGGUAGCUGUAGGUGAACCUGCAGAAGGAUCA